GAAGCACAAAAGAAGCCAACACCAAUCAAGGCCUCCAUCCAAUCCCAAGCAACCUCGAAGAUGUCUUGCUGCGGAGGAAGCUGCGGCUGCGGCAGCGCCUGCAAGUGCGGCAACGGCUGCGGCGGCUGCAACAUGUACCCCGAGGUCGAGGCCGCCGGCGCCACCCUCCUCGUCGCCGCCACCGCCACCCACAAGGCGUACGUCCCUUCUCCUUCCUCAUAUAUCAUGCACUCGAUCGUAACAAUAUGACUGUAUGUUGAUCUUGGUAUGGGUGGGGUACGUGCAGGAGCUCCGGCGGCAUGGAGAUGGCGGCCGAGAACGGCGGCUGCGGCUGCACCCAGUGCAAGUGCGGCACCAGCUGCGGCUGCUCCUGCUGCAGCUGCUAGAUCAUCGGUCAUGCAUGCACCGCGUGCCUCAUAUCUAUGAUCUAUCUAUAUAUCCAUCUACCACCAUGUAACGCUACCUGAUCACGGUCUUUGUAUGUAUGUACGCACCUGCCUGCAUGAGCAGAGCAGGUGCCAUGCCAUGCAUGUAAACCCCUAAAUAAAAUCUCCCGUGGUUUAACCCCCUAUACAUGUGUUUGUGUUAUAGUCUUAUAGACCAACUUCUGGCCCAUGUUUACUAUGAACUUGCGACUUGCGAGGUGCCUGGGUUGUUAAUAGACCAGCUGGAUGCUCUCUUGAAGCAACGUAUGCACCGCUUGGAGUCGGUGUAUCUUUAUACACAUGUAUUUAUUUUACAGGUGUAUAUCAUCGGCCACACCUGGGAAAAAACGAUGGAUGGAGAAGUGUAAAUUUACAGGGGUAUUGCUCUGUGAAACGAGAAUCGAAUCAGGGCCUUAAGGGUAGGGAUGGCAAUGGGUAGGGUAUGGGCGCGUACGACUUUUUUCUGCCCAAACCCAUACCCAAAUCUUUUUUCUAUACCCAUCUAUUUCAAUAUCCAUGGACACAAAUUGGUACCCAUGCCCAUACCUAUCGGGUAUAUUAUACCCAAUGGAUAUCCAAUGGGUAUAGUAUCUAACAUUGGCAUGAUAAAGGUAAGCCAAGAAAAGGGCCUAAAACUAAAUUUAGGUACUCGGCCAUCACAAUCCGGUUUGCACUUACAUCAAAAUUUUACAAUGUGGAUUGACACACAAAUGUCUUAAUCUUCAUUACAAACUAACUUAAAAAAACAAGUUUCAAACUUGCAAUGCCAAUCACUGUAGGUAUUAUAGGGUUUAAUUUAUUUAUUAAUUUUUCUGGGUAUCCAUUAGGAUACCCAUGGGUAUAAUUUCAUACCCAUACCCUACCCAUGCAUUUUGCGGGUAUGGACACCCAUUACCCAUGGGUAUGAAGUAGUAAAAAGUCUUAUCCAUGCCCACUGUUUUCGGGUAGGGUACCCGCGGGUACCCAUACCCAUGGGCAAAACUGCCAUCCCUACUUAAGGGCGUUUGAUACAUGCGAAUAUUACUGGCCAAAGUUGAGUAUGAGAUACAUACAAUACAAACUUGACACUUUUGAAAGUCGUGCUAUCAAUCAUGAGACGCAUAGUUUAGCCAAAUUCUCGCUUAAUCUUUGUCAAAGGGUGUCACAUCUGGUUUGGCCAACCCCAUGAUCCGAUAUGUAUCCUACUCUCUGUGGUUUUCGAUGAAUAAAAUUUGGUUAAACCCUAAAAAAACUUAUUUGACGCGCCUUAGUUUUUUUCGAGAAUUUUUUUUAAAUCCGUUCAUCAAUCAUGGCAGUACAAAAAUCACAACCAGGUCCAUGAACCACCUAGCGACGACUACACUCACUGGAGCGAGCUAAACGUGCGCCGCCAUUAUCGCCCCUCCCUUACCGGAGUCGGACAAACCUUAUUGUAGUAGACAGUUGGAAAGUUAUCGUGCUAAGACCCUCAAGGACCACCGCACUGCAUAGCAACCAUCGUCGAUGAAAAGAGUUGUAGAUUGGAAAGAUCAAAGCUAUAACCACACAAGCGAAGACGAACAAAAAUGGAUCCAAUAGAUCCACCAAAGUCCAGCACGACAGAAUCCUGUGAGAUCCGGCGGGGACACACCUCCACAUGUCCUCCUCCGAUGUUAUUCGCACCACCGGGACGAGGAUCGGAUGUGGGAGACAUUAUUCCUACCCAGGGACAUCACUACCGUCACACAGCCCCAACCAAGACGUUAAACCUAACAAAAACGAGAACGGGUCCCUCCCGCUGCCGGGGGGCCAAGAUCCUCCGCACUCCGGGGAAUCGGCGCCGGCGGCAACGGGAUGAGAAAGGAAACUUUUCUUGAGAAGGAGGAAAGACAGACACAUACUGUUGUGUCUAAAUUACCGUGUCUUAGUUUGAUGUACUAUUUGCACCAGCUACUUCAUAACUAGAUUGCCAUGGUUGACGAUGGGUGUGUUCCCCUCUACUAAUAGUGCGGCAGUGCCCUAGCGGCGACAACUAUAUCAUGAACAAUUAAAACUUCACGAAAUUGGUGGCCUGGUGACUUAUGCCUGUGCCUAUAUCGCACGCUCUUUUGUGAUGACAAAGAAACAGAUUAUCAUUUUCGGAGGUUAAAUGGAAACAGAUGGAGUGAACCACAUGUAUGUUGUACCAGCAAAACAAUAUUUAAAUCGAUUCGUUGAUGAUUUCCUUGAUAUAAAAUUUGAGGUGUGCUCUACAACACCCCACCCUACCCCCGGAGCUCCUAUUUGGCACGCUAAGCGCUAGCGGUCGAGCCCGUGCGCGUCCCCUUCCCUUGCACACCCAUUUGGGUCGGCCCAUGCGCGGGGCGGGACACGCCGUUUUUAUUUUUUAUUUUUCUUUUAUUUAUUUUUUAAAUAAUUCAGGAUUUCAAAAAGUUUCAAAUUUAAAAAAAAUGUCAACUUUGAAAAAACAAAGAAAUCAUAAAAUGUUCAUGGAUUCAAAAAAUAUCUUGAAUUUGAAAGACAUGUCCGGACAUUCCCAAAAUGUUCAUAAAUUUGAACAAAAUGUUCACAAAUUAAAAAACAUGUUCAGAAAACUAAAUAAAUGAUUCUCAAUUACGAAAAUAUUGAAAAAUCAAAAAAUGUUCGUUGAUUCAAAAAAUGUUAAUUAAUUUCGAAAAAUAUUUGUCAAACAAAUAGUAUUCAUGAAUGUCAAAAAUUGUUCCCAGAUUUCAAAAACUAUUUCUUGUCAAAAAUUAUUCAGCAAUUCAAAUGUCCAUGAGUUUUAAAACAAUGUUUACAAUUUUAAAAAAUUCUUAGAUAUAAAAAAAUGUUUGUGAAUUCAAAAAAUAUUCAAGAUUAAAUUAAAUUCAUGAAUUUUUAAACAUGUUCAUGAAUUUGAAAAAUAAUCACAACAAAACAAUGUUCAUGCAAUUGGAAAAUGCUCACAAUUUAAAUAAUGUUAAAAAUCAUUAAAAAGUUCAUAAAUUUGAAAAUAAGUUCAAAAAAUGAAAGACUGAAAAAAGAAAAGAAAAACUGACAUCAAAAUAGGAAAAUAUAAAUAAGGUAAAAACGAAAACGAAAAAUAGAAAUGAAAUAAUGAAAAUGAAAAAACAAAAAUAACCCGAAAGGAAAAAACUGGUAUGGAAAGGUUCUAGAACGUUCCCAAAACCGAAAAGGAGGUACUUGGGCCGCCCCAAAAUGUGUACCUAGUGGGAGGGGCGUAUGCGCUAGGAUUAGCCCCCUAAAAAGCUUCACAACUUUUGAGCAGAUCAAUGGUCUAGAUUAAAACAUGUCCUUUACUUUAGAAGGGGUAAUAUAAAAAAUUCACAUUAUAAAAACACUUGCAAUAAAAAAGAUAACGGGCGCUCUAGAAACCCAUGGCGGCUAGUGCGACUUGUUUGGAGCUAUUCGUCUCCUUCCCAACCCUUAUCCACUACCCCGGUCGUCCAUGUAUCUGUCAAAAGUGUUAGAUGAAGGAAAUAUGCCCUAUAGGCAAUAAUAAAGUUAUUAUUUAUUUCCUUAUUUCAUGAUAAAUGUUUAUUAUUCAUGCUAGAUUUGUAUUAACCGGAAACAUAAUACAUGUGUGAAUACAUAGACAAACAUAGUGUCACUAGUAUGCCUCUACUUGACUAGCCCGUUAAUCAAAGAUGGUUAAGUUUCCUAACCAUAGACAUGAGUUGUCAUUUGAUUAACGAGAGCACAUCAUUAGGAGAAUGAUAUGAUUGACUUGACCCAUUCCGUUAGCUUAGCACUUGAUCGUUUAGUAUUCUGCUAUUGCUUUCUUCAUGACUUAUACAUGUUCCUAUGACUAUGAGAUUAUGCAACUCCCGUUUACCGGAGGAACACUUUGUGUGCUAUCAAACGUGACAACGUAACUGGGUGAUUAUAAAGGUGCUCUACAGGUGUCUCCGAAGGUACUUGUUGGGUUGGCGUAUUUCGAGAUUAGGAUUUGUCACUCCGAUUGCCGGAGAGGUAUCUCUGGCCCACUCGGUAAUACACAUCACUUAAGCCUUGCAAGCAUUGCAACUAAUGAGUUAGUUGCGGGAUGAUGUGUUAUGGAACGAGUAAAGAGACUUGCCGGUAACGAAAUUGAACUAGGUAUUGAGAUACGGACGAUCGAAUCUCGGGCAAGUAACAUACCGAUGGCAAAGGGAACAACGUAUGUUGUUAUGCGGUUUGACCGAUAAAGAUCUUCGUAGAAUAUGUAGGAGCCAAUAUGAGCAUCCAUGUUCCGCUAUUGGUUACUGACCGGAGACGUGUCUCGGUCAUGUCUACAUAGUUCUCGAACCCGUAGGGUCCGCACGCUUAAAGUUCGAUGACGGUUAUAUUAUGAGUUUAUGGUUUUUGAUGUACCGAAGGUAAUUCGGAGUCCUGGAUGUGAUCACGGACAAGACGAGGAGUCUCGAAAUGUUUGAUACGUAAAGAUCAAUAUAUUGGACGACUAUAUUUGGAUAUCGGAAUGGUUCCGGGUGAGAUCAGGAUAAUACCGGAGCACCGGGAGGUUAUUGGAACCCUCCCCCCCGGAGGUAUAUGGGCCUUAAUGGGCUUUAGUGGAAAGGAGGGAAAAGGAGCAAGGGAGGGGGCGCCCCCCCCCCCCCCAAGCCCAAUCCGAAUAGGGAAGGGGGCCACCCCCCUUUCCUUCCUCCCUCCUUCCUCUUCCUUCCCUCCCCCUCUCCAAAUAGGAAAAGGAGGAGUCCUACUCCCGAUGGGAGUAGGACUCCCCCCUUGGGCGCGCCUCCUCCCCUUGACCAGCCCUCUCCUCCCCUCCUUUAUAUACGGAGGAGAGGGGCACCCCAUAGACAGAACAAUUGAUCUCUUGGAUCUUUUAGCCGUGUGCGGUGCCCCUCUCCACCAUAGUCCACCUCGAUAAUAUCGUAGCGGUGCUUAGGCGAAGCCCUGCGACGGUAGAACAACAUCGUCACCACGCCCUCGUGCUGAUAGAACUCUCCCUCACAGCUCGGCUGGAUAGGAGUUCGAGGGAUGAAACCGAGUUGAACGUGUGCAGAACUCGGAGGUGCCGUGCGUUCGGUACUUGAUCGGUCGGAUCGUGAAGACAUACGACUACAUCAACCGCGUUGUGCUAAUGCUUCCGCUUUCGGUCUACAAGGGUACGCGGACACACUCUCCCCUCUCGUUGCUAUGCAUCACCAUGAUCUUGCAUGUGCGUAGGAAAUUUUUUGAAAUUACUACGUUACCCAACAGUGGUAUCAGAGCCAGGUUUUAUGCGUUGAUGUUAUAUGCACGAGUAGAAAACAAGUGAGUUGUGGGCGAUACAAGUCAUACUGCUUACCAGCAUGUCAUACUUUGGUUCGGCGGUAUUGUUGGAUGAAGCGGCCCGGACCGACAUUACGCGUACGCUUACGCGAGACUGGUUCUACCGACGUGCUUUGCACACAAGUGGCUGGCGGGUGUCAGUUUCUUCAACUUUAGUUGAACCGAGUGUGGCUACGCCCGGUCCUUGAGAAGGUUAAAACAGCACUAACCUGACGAACUAUCGUUGUGGUUUUGAUGCGUAGGUAAGAACGGUUCUUGCUCAGCCCGUAGCAGCCACGUAAAACUUGCAACAACAAAGUAGAGAACGUCUAACUUGUUUUUGCAGGGCAUGUUGUGAUGUGAUAUGGUCAAGACAUGAUGCUAUAUUUUAUUAUAUGAGAUGAUCAUGUUUUGUAAUCGAGUUAUCGGCAACUGGCAAGAGCCAUAUGGUUAUCGCUUUAUUGUAUGCAAUGCAAUCGCCCUGUAAUUGCUCUACUUUAUCACUAGGCGGUAGCGAUAGUCAUAGAAGCAAUAGUUGGCGAGACGACAAUGAUGCUACGAUGGAGAUCAAGGUGUCGCACUGGUGACGAUGGUGAUCAUGACGGUGCUUCGGAGAUUGAGAUCACAAGCACAAGAUGAUGAUGGCCAUAUCAUAUCACUUAUAUUGAUUGCAUGUGAUGUUUAUCUUUUAUGCAUCUUAUUUUGCUUUGAUUGACGGUAGCAUUAUAAGAUGAUCUCUCACUAAAUUUCAAGAUAAAAGUAUUCUCCCUGAGUAUGCACCGUUGCCAAAGUUCGUCGUGCCCAGACACCAUGUGAUGAUCGGGUAUGAUAAGCUCUAUGUCCAUCUACAACGGGUGCAAGCCAGUUUUGCACACGCAGAAUACUCAGGUUAAACUUGACGAGCCUAGCAUAUGCAGAUAUGGCCUUGGAACACCGAGACCGAAAAGUCGAGCUUGAAUCAUAUAGUACAUAUGAUCAACAUAAUGAUGUUCACCAUUGAAAACUACUCCAUUUCACGUGAUGAUCAGUUAUGGUUUAGUUGAUUUGGAUCACAUGAUCACUUAGAUGAUUAGAGAGAUGUCUAUCUAAGUGGGAGUUCUUAAAGUAAUAUGGUUAAUUGGACUUUAAUUUAUCUUGAACUUAGUCCUGGUAGUAUUAGCAUAUCUAUGUUGUAUAUCAAUAGCUCGCGUUUAGCUCCCCUGUUUUAUUUUUGAUAUGUUCCUAGAGAAAACUAAGUUGAAAGAUGUUAAUAGCAAUGAUGCGGAUUGGAUCCGUGAUCUGAGGAUUAUCCUCACUGUUGCACAGAAAUAUUAUGUCCUUGAUGCACCGCUAGGUCACAGACCUAUUGCAGGAGCAGAUGCUGACGUUAUGAACAUUUUGACAAAAGCUCGGUAUGAUGACUACUUGAUAGUUUAGUGCACCAUGCUUUACGACUUAGAACCGGGACUUCAAAAAUGUUUUGAACGCCACGGAGCAUAUAAGAUAUUCCAAGAAUUGAAAUUGGUAUUUCAUACUCAUGCCAGUGUCGAGAGGUAUGAGACCUCUGACAUUACUUUGCCUACAAGAUGGAGGAGAAUAGCUCAACCAGUAAGCAUGUGCUCAGAUUGUCUGAGUACUACAAUCACUUGAAUCAAGUGGGAGUUAAUCUUCUAGAUAAUAUAGUGAUUGACAGAGUUCUCUAGUCACUAUCACCAAGUUGUUAGAACUUCAUGAUGAACUAUAAUAUGCAAGGGAUAACGGAAACGAUUCCCAAGCUCUUCAUGAUGCUGAAAUCGACGAAGGUAAAAAUCAAGAAAAGCAUCAAGUGUUGAUGGUUAACAAGACCACUAUUUUCAAGAAAAGGGCAAAUGGAAUAAGGGGAAUUUCAAGAAGAACGGCAAGCAAGUUGCUGCUCAAGUGAAGAAGCCCAAAUCUAGACCUAAGCCUGAGACUAAGUGCUUUUACUGCAAAGGGACUAGUCACUGGAAGUGGAACUGCCCCAAGUAUUUGGCAGAUAAGAAGGAUGGCAAAGUGAACAAAGGUAUAUUGGAUAUACAUGUUAUUGAUGUGUACUUUACUAGUGUUUAUAGCAACCCCUCAGUAUUUGAUACUAGUUCAGUUGCUAAGAGUAGUAACUUGAAAUGGUAGUUGGACAAUGAACAGAGACUAGUUAAGGGUGGAGCAACGAUGUGUGUUGGAAGUAGUUCCAAGAAUGAUAUGAUCGUCAUCGCACACUCCCUAUACUUUCAGGAUUAGUGUUGAACCUAAAUAAGUGUUAUUUGGUGUUUUCGUUGAGCAUGAAUAUGAUUUGAUCAUGUUUAUUGCAAUACGGUUAUUCAUUUAAGUUAGAGAAUAAUUGUUAUUCUGUUUACAUGAAUAAAACCUUCUAUGGUUAUACACCCAAUGAAAAUGGUUUGUUGAAUCUUGAUUGUAGUGAUACACAUAUUCAUAAUAUUGAAGCCAAAAGAUGCAAAGUUAAUAAUGAUAGUGCAACUUAUUUGUGGCACUGUCGUUUAGGUCAUAUUGGUGUAAAGCGCAUGAAGAAAAUCCAUGCUGAUGGGCUUUUGGAAUCACUUGAAUAUAAAUCAGUUGAUGCUUGCGAACCAUGCCUCAAGGGUAAAGAGGACUAAGACUCCGUUCUCCAGAACAAUGGAGCGAGGAACUGACUUAUUGGAUAUAAUACAUACUGAUGUAUGAGGUCCGAUGAGUGUUGAGGCUCGCGGCGGGUAUCGUUAUUUUCUGACCUUCACAGAUAAUUUGAGCAGAUAUGGGUAUAUCUACUUGAAGAAACAUAAGUCCGAAACAUUUGAAAAGUUUAAAGAAUUUCAGAGUGAAGUGGAAAAUCAUCGUAACAAGAAAAUAAAGUUUCUACGAUCUGAUCGUAGAGGCAAAUAUUUGAGUUACGAGUUUGGUCUUCAAUUAAAACAAUAUGGAAUAGUUUCACAAACUCAUGCCACCUGGAACACCAUAGCGUAAUGGUGUGUCCGAAAGUCAUAACUGUGCUUUAUUUGAUAUAGUGCAAUCUAUGAUGUCUCAUACCGAUUUACCACUAUCAUUUUGGGGUUAUGCAUUAGAGAUAGCUGCAUUCACAUUAAAAAGGGCACCAUCUAAAUCUGUUGAGAUAACACCGUAUGAACUGUGGUUUAGCAAGAAACCUAAGGUGUCGUUUCUUAAAGUUUGGGGUUGCGAUGCUUAUGUGAAAAAGGUUUAUCUUGAUAAGCUCAAACCCAAAUCGAAGAAGUGCGUCUUCAUAGGAUACCCAAAAGUAACUGUUGGGUACACCUUCUAUCACAGAUCCGAAGGCAAGAUAUUUGCUGCUGAGAAUAGAUCCUUUCUAGAGAAGGAGUUUCUCUCGAAAGAAGUGAGUGGGAGGAAAGUAGAACUUGAUGAGGUAACUGUACCUGCUCCCUUAUUGGAAAGUAGUUCAUCACAGAAAUCUGUUUCUGUGACUCCUACACCAAUUAGUGAGGAAACUAAUGAUGAUGAUCAUGUAACUUCAGAUCAAGUUAUUACCAAACCUCUUAGGUCAACCAGAGUGAGAUCCGCACCAGAGUGGUACGGUAAUCCUGUUCUGGAGGUCACGUUAAUUGACCAUGACGAACCUACGAACUAUGAGGAAGCGAUGAUGAGCCCAGAUUCCGCGAAAUGGCUUGAGGCAUGAAAUCUAAUAUGGGAUCCAUGUAUGAGAACAAAGUGUGGACUUUGGUUAACUUGCCCGAUGAUCGGCAAGCCAUAGAAAAUAAAUGGAUCUUCAAGAGGAAGACGGACAGUGAUAGUAGUGUUGCUAUCUACAAAGCUCGAAUUGUCGCAAAAUGUUUUCGACAAGUUCAAGGUGUUGACUACGAUGAGAUUUUCUCACUCGUAUCGAUGCUUAAGUCCGUCCGAAUCAUGUUAGCAAUUGCCGCAUUUUAUGAUUAUGAAAUUUGGCAAAUGGAUGUAAAGACUGCAUUCCUGAAUGGAUUUCUGGAAGAAGAGUUGUAUAUGAUGCAACCUGAAGGUUUUGUCGAUCCUAAAGGUGCUAACAAAGUGAGCAACCUCCAGCGAUCCAUCAAUGGACUGGUGCAAGCUUCUCGAAGUUGGAAUAAACGUUUUGAUAGUGUGAUCAAAGCAUAUGGUUUUAUACAGACUUGCGGUGAAGCCUGUAUUUACAAGAAAGUGAGUGGGAGCACUACAACAUUUCUAAUAAGAAGUGUGAAUGACAUAUUGUUGAUCGGAAAUAAUGUAGAAUUUUCUGGAAAGCAUAAAGAAGUAUUUGAAAUGAGUUUCUCAAAUAAAGACCUCGAUGAAGCUACUUACAUAUUGAGCAUCAAGAUCUAUAGAGAUAGAUCAAGACGCUUGAUAAGUUUUUUCAAUGAGUGCAUACCUUGACAAGAUUUUGAAGUAGUUCAAAAUGGAACAGUCAAAGAAAGAGAUCUUACCUGUGUUACAAGGUGUGAAAUUGAGUAAGACUCAAAGCCCGACCACGGCAGAAGAUAGAAAGAGAAUGAAAGUCAUUCCCUAUGCCUCAACCAUAGUUUCUAUAAAGUAUGCCAUGCUGUGUACCAGAUCUAUUGUAUACCCUACACUGAGUUUAGCAAUGGAAUACAAUAGUGAUCUAGGAGUAGAUCACUGGAUAGCGGUCAAAAUUAUCCUUAGUGGAAUAAGGAAAUAUUUCUCGACUAUGGAGGUGAUAAAAGAGUUCGUCGUAAAGAGUUACGUCGAUGCAAGCUUUUUACAUCGAUCUAGAUGACUCUAAGUCUCGAUCUGGAUACAUAUUAAAAGUGGGAGCAAUUAGCUAGAGUAGCUCCAUGCAAAGCAUUGUUGACACAGAAAUUUUCAAAAUACAUAUGGAUCUGAAUGUGGCAGACCCGUAGACUAAACUUCUCUCACAAGUAAAACAUGAUCACACCUUAGUACUCUUUGGGUGUUAAUCGCAUAGCGAUGUGAACUAGAUUAUUGACUCUAGUAAACCCUUUGGGUGUUGAUCACAUGACGAUGUGAACUAUGGGUGUUAAUCACAUGGUGAUGUGAACUAUUGGUGUUAAAUCACAUGGCGAUGUGAACUAGAUUAUUGACUCUAGUGCAAGUGGGAGACUGAAGGAAAUAUGCCCUAGAGCCAAUAAUAAAGUUAUUAUUUAUUUCCUUAUUUCAUGAUAAAUGUUUAUUAUUCAUGCUAGAUUUGUAUUAACCGGAAACAUAAUACAUGUGUGAAUACAUAGACAAACAUAGUGUCACUAGUAUGCCUCUACUUGACUAGCUCGCUAAUCAAAGAUGGUUAAGUUUCCUAACCAUAGACAUGAGUUGUCAUUUGAUUAACGGGAUCACAUCAUUAGGAGAAUGAUAUGAUUGACUUGACCCAUUCCGUUAGCUUAGCACUUGAUCGUUUAGUAUUCUGCUAUUGCUUUCUUCAUGACUUAUACAUGUUCCUAUGACUAUGAGAUUAUGCAACUCCCGUUUACCAGAGGAACACUUUGUGUGCUACCAAACGUCACAACGUAACAGGGUGAUUAUAAAGGUGCUCUACAGGUGUCUCCGAAGUUACUUGUUGGGUUGGCGUAUUUCGAGAUUAGGAUUUGUCACUCCGAUUGUCGGAGAGGUAUCUCUGGCCCCUCGGUAAUACACAUCACUUAAGCCUUGCAAGCAUUGCAACUAAUGAGUUAGUUGCGGGAUAAUGUGUUAUGGAACGAGUAAAGAGACUUGCCAGUAACGAGAUUGAACUAGGUAUUGAGAUACCGACGAUCGAAUCUCGGGCAAGUAACAUACCGAUGGCAAAGGGAACAACGUAUGUUGUUAUGCGGUUUGACCGAUAAAGAUCUUCGUAGAAUAUGUAGGAGCUAAUAUGAGCAUCCAUGUUCCGCUAUUGGUUAUUGAACGGAGACGUGUCUCAGUCAUGUCUACAUAGUUCUCGAACCCGUAGGGUCCGCACGCUUAAAGUUCGAUGACGGCUAUAUUUUGAGUUUAUGGUUUUUGAUGAACCGAAGGUAAUUCAGAGUCCUGGAUGUGAUCACGGACAAGACGAGGAGUCUCGAAAUGUUCGAGACGUAAAGAUCGAUAUAUUGGACGACUAUAUUUGGAUACCAGAAUGGUUCCGGGUGAGAUCGGGAUAAUACCGGAGCACCGGGAGGUUAUCGGACCCCCCCGGAGGUAUAUGGGCCUUAAUGGGCUUUAGUGGAAAGGAGGUAAAAGGAGAAAGGGAGGGGGCGCCCCCCCCCCCCCAAGCCCAACCCGAACUGGGAAGCCCCCCCCCUUUCCUUCCUCCCUCCUUCCUCUUCCUUCCCUCUCCCUCUCCAAAUAGGAAAAGGAGGAGUCCUACUCCCGGUGGGAGUAGGACUCCCCCCUUGGGCGCACCUCCUCCCCUUGGCCGGCCCUCUCCUCCCCUCCUUUAUAUACGGAGGAGAGGGGCACCCCAUAGACACAACAAUUUAUCUCUUGGAUCUUUUUGCUGUGUGCGGUGCCCCUCUCCACCAUAGUCCACCUCGAUAAUAUUGUAGCGGUACUUAGGCGAAGCCCUGUGACGGUAGAACAUCAACAUCGUCACCACGCCGUUGUGCUGAAGGAACUCUCCCUCAAAGCUCGGCUGGAUCGGAGUUUGAGGGACGUCAUCGAGUUGAACGUGUGCAGAACUCAGAGGUGCCGUGCGUUCGGUACUUGAUCGGUCGGAUCGUGAAGACAUACGACUACAUCAACCGCAUUGUGCUAAUGCUUUCGCUUGCGGUCUACAAGGGUACACGGACACACUCUCCCCUCUCGUUGUUAUGCAUCACCAUGAUCUUGCGUGUGCGUAGGAUUUCUUUUUAAAUUACUAUGUUACCCAACAUUAGACUCCUCCACUUUAUCUUACUCCUCACAUUCCCAUCAUCCGACAUAGUAUGACGACAUCUCAGCCCCUUGUAUUCACAUCACACGGUGUUCAAAUCGCACGAGCCACGAGGCCUUGUUUUUUAAACAGAAGUGGUGUACCCAAGCACCCCUAAUGAAAUUGGCGUUCCCUUGAUCCAAAGAAAAAAAGAGUAAAAAGAAACCAAACACUCCCCCCCCCACAUACACCUCCAGCGUUCCUAUGCACCGAAUUGUACACAACCAAUAGUUUCUACAUUGCUACACAUGAAUGAUGCUUACAGUUGAAAUAAAAGGCAACUCAUUGUCGCUUACAACUAAAUAGCAAAAGGAUACUAGGAGUAGAGUUUGACAUAGGCUAGAGUAAGUGCAUUAUAUAUCCUUAUUUCUGUUUCGCAAUUUUUUUUCCUUAUUUCUAGUGUGUGAUUGCCACCCAAGAUUGCAAUAGAACACCAGGUCAACUGACAAUCCAAUCCCUGGUGUUCUAUUAUAUGUCGAGUUAAAUACUAAAAAGUGCUACUAGGAGUAGAGUAUGAGAUGAACGAGAGUAAGUGCAUUAUGUAUAUCCUCAAUUAUAGUGUGCGGUCACCACCCAAGAUUGCAACAGAACACCAAUUUGGCUGACGAAACCAAUCUAGUCCAAUCGCUUAUUGAACUAAAAGUCGGUAUAUGUACUUAGGAGUUGCCUAACUAAAGCAUGCGGUUCAACUUGAUAGAUCUAGUAAGAUUCAACUCGAUAAUCGUUUAAUUCCUAAUGGUUUCUAUAAAAAAUAGUUACAAUAACUAACUCAAACGAAAUAUAAGCGAACAAUCAAACAUCGACCGGCUCACAUGGCUUCCAAAUAAAACUAAUUAACAGAUCGAGUAAUACAUUGUUUAUUCCUUGCUCUUAAUAUGAGGUUAUACAUAACAUAUUUUGGUCCAUCCUGAAGUAAGUAUUACGUAACAAGUACUAGCUAGUAUUUCAGUCUCUACUAGCAAAUGUUGCAAUAGCAAACAGCCUUGAUGGCGUUCUUCUUAUCACAGUGGUAGUCCUUGAGGCUGCCCUUCCUAUCACGUGCAAACACGUCACACGUGGCCUUGCAUAGAGGCUUGGUGCAGAAAAACUCCCCGCCGUCGUCAACGACCGCGAAAUUGUGCUGCACAACACCAAGAAAACACAAACCAUUAUAUUAGAAUAUUAGCGACAAACCCCCAUUAGAUUAGAUUAUACGUAUUUGACAAACACAAUUAAACACACCUGCAGAAAUAGGAGUACCCACAAGUGUUAGCACCACGAGGAAGCAAACAAUAGCAGCCCGUGUGUCCAUCCCAAGAGUUCUCUCCUUUUUUGAACUAGAAGGAAAAAUAUGUGUUCUCUUCGUCUAUUUUAAUUUGGCUAUGGGACUAAUGUUUAUGUCUUGAAGUGCUUGGAGUGUUGUCUUAUAUAGACUUAUUGAAAGGGACAAAAAUAAAAGCAUUUAAAUGAUUGUUAAACUUAGCAAAAGAGAUAGAGGUGAGUCACACCCCAAAAAUGGAAGCACUUAAUGCUGGGUGAGAAAUUAAAUGACGAAGGCAAAGAAUAUAUGAGUGAUGUUUAUCCAAUAAUCAAGGCUUUAAUUUUCGACUACAAAAUAAGCAUGACCAUUCAAAAAAUGGAGUCAUCUUUUUGUCGCUGGUGACAUUGAUCAAACAUGGUUUUUUAUAAAAAAAAAUGUAUAGCCACUUUAAUUGCAAACACCAUUGUGCAUUGAAAUUCAGUUGACUUCAACAAAACAAUCAAUAUGAAUUGCAUGCUUGAUAUGUAACCAACUAAAACUAAAAUUGUAUGUUGUCUCGAGUUGACUAAAUCACCAUUUUUGGCUAGACAAUGUUUAAAACUGUGUCAACUGUGUCAAUUUGCACGGCGCCUGGGACAAUGCAAUGUCAAAUCUUGCACUAUUUUAAACCACCACAAGAUAAGCAAGCUGAGUUGGCCCGGGCCUCUUGCCAGACGCUGGCAUCCACCUCGAAAUCUAUAUCAAUAUAUUUUUUGUAUCACAUGAAUCAUAUAGUAUUGGUCUAAAAUAUAUUUUCUCUUGUUGCAAAAUAUGAAAGAAAAAUCGGCACAACAAUAUUAUAUAGACCCAUCGCAACAAUAGCAUGCUUCACAGUCGGUGGGUCCCAUGUAAAGACAUUUGGAAAUACCUCAAAAAUGCAUAUGUGUACUAUUUAUUAUUGUCCAAGAAUUUCACAUGCUCACUCACAACAAACUGUUGAAGAAUUCCGUGCAACUUAGAAACUAACGUAUGCAACAACGCGAGCACAACAUUUGUGUUAGGACUAACAAAAUUACAUUACAUUGUAGCAUGUCACACAUGUGUAUGUAGUAUGACGCAAAUGAGUUCACAGCAUACCAAAACAACGAAUGGUAACUACAAAAAAUUCCCAUAAAUCUAACAUUUUACAACCAAAAAAUUUGGUGGGCACUGACCUCACCUCAUCAAACUUGCUCUAAUAUUCUAGUUAGUGUAGAGUUUUGGAUUAAGCUAAAGUUGCUCUAGUAUUAUGCCACAACAAAAAGGAAAGAAAUGGGGGAAAACAAAGAAGAGCGGAGCAGGGUGGCUUACUCGGAUCUAAGUCGGCCAAUAUCAAUCGCAUUGCCCUCCUAAAUCCUGAUUACUCAAGCCAGCCCAAAAUUGAGGGGCUACUAAAAUAGAAGUUGAGCCUAUGGUGCAAGAACAGAAAAGCCAUUGGAUUGGAUAUGGAUAGCACAUGAUCUGGUGGAGCGAUCUCAGGCCACUUUUUGUAUAUUUUAUGAAAAAACCCUAUUAACAGUUAGGUACAAAACAAAACAUUCGCAGUGACCACCUUAAGUAUCUCAUCUCCCAAUCCAAUAGUGGAGUUAACGACCAUUUACAGAUUUCAGGUUUUUUCCAGCGACCAUUUAUAGAAUUUGCACAACCUCAUAUCCUAUCAGUUUUAUAAAAUAUAUUUUCACAUACCGAGCACAAAUAUAUGGUUGUAAGAAUGAAGAACUCAUACUCAUGCUUGUUUUAAUUCUAGUAUUUACACCCCUAAGGUUGUUAAGGUCCGGUUACAAAAACUCGAAUUUAAUUCUCUUAUAAGAACUUGUUAGAGUCCUGUCAUAGUGCACAUCCUCUCGUGGAUUCGAUAACUCAAGGUUGCUCCUUCGGGAAAAGGGAGGGAAACCUUUGUUGUCCAAACCGGAUCUCAAAGAGCACCACCCAUCUCUCACCCUACUCGAUGAUACAACAUCGACGACCAGGUACGUGUGUAACCAACCGUCUGCUCCCUCGCUCUGUCACUGUGGUGCUAUUCAUUACAUCAAGUCGGGACCCAUUUCCUUCCUUUUGAGGUUAACAAUUAAGGUUUCUAGUCUAUAUGAGGGCCUUCGGAUUCAACUUAUAAGAAUGUUAGUUCAAAUUUAAUGAUGAUUAUUUCAAGUGGAUGGUUAUGUGAACUAGGUUGGUAGAGUGGUGGCCGACCACUGUUGCGGCGGACUUCAGGGAUGUUUGAUCUAUCCACCUGGCUUGAUCAAGCAGCGUCGACAUUUGUGCAUCAUUAUUUUGUUGAAUAUGUUCGUUCGAUUUGCUUGUUGCAGGGGUGAUAGCCUCUGGUCCGACGUUUGGUUACACGAGACAAUAAGCUCCCCUUGCAAAAGUGUAUGAUGUGGGAAUUACGUGUUGUACUCCUCAGGUGCAAACGCACGUAUAUAUGAUGUACAGGAGUAGGCCACGACCUCAAUUAUACAAGGCAACUAGGAGGUGGGCCCAAUACACAAAUAUGCACAACAAAGACUGGACCGGAACUCCUCAAAAUGAUGCCGUAGGCAAGUCCUUGGUCAUGGUAUAUGCAAAUUGUUGGGAAGUAGGGACGUGUAAAACACGAAUAUGGCCAAGGGCCACCUAUUCCCGAACAAAAUGAAUAUCCAACUCAAUAUGCUUGGUCCGUCGAUGAUGCACCGGGUUAGCGGAGAGGUAGACUGCCGAGACGUUGUCGCAAUAGACCACCGUGGCACGGUCAACAGGGAAAGAGAGCUCCUGAAGCAGCUGGCGAAGCCACGAACACUCGGCGACGGUGUUGGCCACCGCAGGAUACUCAGCCUCAGCGUUGGAACGAGAGACCGUAGGCUGCCGCGUGGAUGACCACGAGAUAAGUGAGGGUCCAAGGUAGACACAAUAGCCCGAGGUGGAGCGACGAGUUUUAGGGCAGCCCGCCCAGUCUGCAUUGAAGUAGGCGGCGAGGGCAGUGUCGGCGGAGGCAUGAAGCGUGACACCAAGAUCCAUAGUGCCACAGACAUAGCGGAGAAUCCGUUUGACAACGGCCCAGUGCAUCUCGAGGAGCAUGCAUAUGAAGACACACCUGCUGCACGACAUACUGGAUCUCUGGUUGAGUUAAAGUGAGGUACUGAAGAGCACCAACAAUAGACCGAUAAAAAGCAGCAUCCGAAGCAGGAGAACCAUCCGUGGCAGAAAGCUUGGCCUUUGUAUAAACAGGCGUAGCAGCGGGCUUGUAGUUAAGCAUGUUGGCCCGCUCCAGGAGCUCAUGAGCAUACUUCCGCUGAUGAAAGAAGAAGCCAUCCGGACGGCACACCACCUCGACACCGAGGAAGUUGUGCAAAGGACCCAAGUCCUUGAUGGCAAACUCAGCGCGAAGACGAGCCAUGAGCUGACCGAGGAGACCAACCAUACAUGCCGUCAGGAUGACGUCGUCGACAUAGAGCAGAAAGUAGGCCGUGUUAGAGCCCUGAUGAUAGACGAAGAGCGAGGCGUCCGAGCGGGUGGAGCGGAACCCAAGCUGGUGGAGAAACGCUGCGAUGCGCUGGUACCAAGCACGCAGAGCCUUCUUAAGUUCAUACAAGGACCGCGAAAGCAGGCACACGUGGUCGGGAAGCGCCGGGUCAACAAACCCGGUGUGCUGCUGGCAGAAGACCUGCUACUCCAGGUGACCAUGGAGCAAGGCGUUGGAGACGUCCAUCUGGUGCACCGGCCAAGCACGGGAGACUGCAAGGUGGAGAACCGUGUGUAUCGUGUCGGGCUUGACGACCAGAGCGAAGGUGUCGAUGAAGUCGAUGCCAGCACGCUGUCGGAAGCCACGAACGACCCAACGCGGUUUGUAGCGAUCAAAGGUACCAUCGGGACGGAGGUUGUGUUUGAAGACCCACUUCCCGGUAAUCACGUUGGCGUGCUGAGGACAGGAAACAAACAUAGAAGAUUUGACUUUAGAAAAAAAAUAGUACAACUUAUCUAUACCUAAUAUUAAAGGACGGAGAUUUUUAUAGUUCUCCAUACAUCUAACUUUAUUAAUAGUCUUCAUCGGCCCACCGGAGCAAGACAAUAAGUAGGCCUGGAAACACUCGAUUCAAUGGGCCUGAAAAAUAAACGGGCAUGCAUCCUCUCUCGCUCAUCUCUCUCCUCUCGAACCCCUCAUAAAAAAUUUCUCUCCUCUCGAUCCCUUCGCUCUCUACUACGAGCGCUCCUGGGGCAGACAUGUUCUCCCUUCUCUCUACCGCUGCGGAUGGCCCAACUUGACUCCGAGACGAACUCUGCUCGAGCACGCACCCAUAGGGUGUCCCGACAGGUUCUUUGCGGUUCCGCAGGCUGGUCUAGGAACAUAUAGAAACAAAUUGACGCCAUCAAACGAAGCCCCAGCUCAAUUGCCUGGUUGCGGAGUGCGGCGGCAUGUCGAGCCGAACGCCGGCAAGAUCAUACAGGAUGAGGCAGUAGAUGCCAACGAUAGUGUGCGUCACCCAACUCGACGCAGGCGAGGAAGAUGAGCAGGACGGCGUUGGAGCUCAGCAGGGCGCCGACGAGAACGUACGGGAAGAGGCGGUAGACGCCGAUGGCGGUGUAGGUAACCCACCCAGCUCGACGAAGGUGAGGAAGAUGAGUAGGACGGGGGGUAGCCGGGGAUUUGAAGAGGACUCGGAAGGGCUACACGAGCAUGACCAGGUCGUCACUGAAUCGGAUCCGUCACCUCAUGCGGCUGAGCUGUUAGAGGACGAUGCAGAGGCUCUGGUCAAAGGCGACCAUGAUGGAUGUGUCACCGCCGGCCACGCGAUAGAGGAAGAAGGUGAGGCUCAAGAGCCGGCCAGCCGAGUGGACGUGCCGGUGCAGUUGUGACCGCUCGGGAGGUUGAAGGCAAGCGAGGGAGCUCAUGCGGCGACGUCGGCAAGGCUCGGUGGCGAGAUAGCGCAGAAGAGCGGUGCAGCGGAGCGACAACCACGAUGCUAGGGCGUUGCGGAGAGAAAGGAUGAAGAGAGAUAGGGCAAGGGAGUCCUACUGCUGGUGGAGGCACGCAGGAGGAGCUCGAGCAUCAGUUGGCGGGCGAAGCAAGGAGUCGCAGGGCUUUCCAGCGACUAUGAUGGUGCGGGUUGAUCUGGGGAGGCUGGGAGAGCUGCCUCCUAGGGGCGCUGGUUCGGGUUGACGUGUGCGUCAUGUGCACUGCUACAAAAUUGCUGGAUAUGUGUAUCUAUAUGUGUGCGGCUGCGAUUUGAAAGUCGUAGCAAUGCACAGGCUUAUAAUUAAAUAAUUAUAUAUCUUUACUUGUUCAGUAGCAACACAUGCUAGCAAGCAGCAGAGACAGUAUACUAUGUUGGCGAUCAUUUGGCGAGCGAGCAGUUGAAUUGCUGCUGGCAUGCAUUGUGCAGGGGCAUGUUCGCUUGGGUCUUGGGACGAAAUCGACUGAGUCAAUAAAUAAUUUUUUAAAAGGAUAUUAGACCCUCGGCCUCUGCAUCAUUCAUUAUGAUGCACACAAAUAUUUUUAGCAAAGUUAGCCAUGGGUCGAACCAUUAGAUAUCAAAUAGACAUCUACAACUAAGUCGACUUCUGCUGCAACAUCUCUUCAAGAAGGGAUAAACUUUCUCGCCAUCGACCGAAACAAUCCGUAAGAAGAAGAAAAUGAUCACACAUGUGAAACAUAAUUGUCAAUACAAAUACAUGACACAUGGUGGUACGAACACACAUCACGAUGGAAGAAUACCAGCAACUUAAAAGCAAGCCUACAUCAAAUCUAUAUUUCAUUAGUAUUUAGUCCAUAUUUUUAUUUCUAUCAACCUAAACUCCAAUUACGUUAAAAUUUAGGUUUGAACUGCAGAUAUGAGAUUUCGAAUUUAAAGAUUGAACGUAUAUUUAAAGUUCUCAUAGUAUGUGUCUAUUUUUUGGGGUGUCUUUUUACUCGAUAGGAAUCCAAUUCAAUGCUCAAAAUCAAAUAACAAGAUUAUUGCUACAUAUUUUGAUAAAGCUAAAUUUUACUUGAAUUUUGGAUGUAGUUUAGACAAAUAAUUCUCACUAAAUCUUACUAUGGGCCAAUUUUUCUCUACCGUUGCAACACACCGGAUCGAGAGUUUCCAAGAAAACAUUGUCAGUCAGAUGCAUUUACUCCAGAUCAUAACUCAUGUCCUAAGCUUCACGUCGUGAUCCUCAAAUCAUGCAUCUUUUUAUUUUCUCAUCAUCAACCGUUGUGACAUGACACAGUUCCUCGACCUGGCCAACCAUGGUUCAUAGGAACUGGUAUAUUUCUCCCGCUGCAACGCACGGGCAUUCGUGCUAGUAUUUUGAAACGGGAGUUAGUAGGUACACCAAUAAUUCGAUAUACCCACAAAAUGCUGGCUCUAGUUCCUUUCAUGGCUCCUUUGAUGUAAGAAAGAUGCUAGUAGUGACUAGAGACAAAGGGAAUCAAAUUAUGGGAGGAGGCGGCCCUAUCUAUAUUCCUCUUCUCCAAGCGGUAGCUCCCGUCCAUCCUUUGCCAAAAGUGGAGCAUCUCUCAUUUCCUUCUUCAUCUUCUCCUCCUCCUCCUUUCUUGAUGCUCACUCGCCUAUAAAUAGCUCUCGCUGCCUGCCAUUGUUACUCAAGCUAGCAAGCAAGAAGCACAAAAGAAGCCAACACCAAUCAAGGCCUCCAUCCAAUCCCAAGCAACCUCGAAGAUGUCUUGCUGCGGAGGAAGCUGCGGCAGCGCCUGCAAGUGCGGCAACGGCUGCGGCGGCUGCAACAUGUACCCCGAGGUCGAGGCCGCCGGCGCCACCCUCCUCGUCGCCGCCACCGCCACCCACAAGGCGUACGUCCCUUCUCUUUCCUCAUACAUCAUGCGCCUCGCUGUAAUAUGACUAUAUAUGUUGAUCUUGCUAUGGGACUAAGGAUGGAUGGAUGGGUGCAGGAGCUCCGGCGGGAUGGAGAUGGCGGCGGAGAAUGGCGGCUGCGGCUGCACCCAGUGCAAGUGCGGCACCAGCUGCGGCUGCUCCUGCUGCAGCUGCUAGAUCAUUGAUCAUCGAUCAUGCAUGCACCGCGCGCAUGCAUCAUAUCUAUGAUCGAUCCAUCCAUCCAUCUAGUACCAUGUAACGCUACCUGAUCGAGGGUCUUUGUAUGUAUGUAAGCACCUGCCAGCAUGAGCAGAGCAGGUGCACUCCCAUGCAUGUAAACCGACCCCUAAAUAAAAUCUCCCGUGGUUUAACCUAUACAUGUGUUUGUGUUAUAGACCAGCUUCUGGCCCAUGUUUACUAUCAACUUGCGAGGUGCCUGGGUUGCUAAUAGACCAGCUGAAUGCUCUCUUAAAGCAACGUAUGCACCGCUUGGAAUCGGUGUAUCUUUCUUUAUACACAUGUAUUUAUUUUACAGGUGUAUAUCAUCGGCCACACCUGGGAAAAACGAUGGAUGGAGAAGGGUAAAUUUACAGGGGUAUUGCUCUGUGAAACGAGGGUCGAAUCAGGGUCGUAAGGGUGUUUGAUACGUGUGAAUAUUACUGGCCGAAGUUGAGUAUGAGAUACAUACAAUACAAACUUGACACUUUUGAAAGUCGUGCUAUCAAUCAUGAGACACAUAGUUUAGCCAAAUUCUCGCUUAAUCUUUGUCAAAGGGUGUCACGUACUCACGUCUGGUUUGGCCAACCCCAUGAUCCGAUAUGUAUCCCACUCUUUGUGGUUUUCGAUGAAUAAAAUUUGGUUAAACCCUAAAAAAAACUUAUUUUGC
Molecule: long non-coding RNA, 21376 nt
Filed under: Triticum aestivum (bread wheat)
Lineage: Eukaryota; Viridiplantae; Streptophyta; Magnoliopsida; Poales; Poaceae
Description: long non-coding RNA (TAES_LNC026544)
Source: RNAcentral